AAUAUAUUUGCUAGCAUAAAAUAAAUUUUUAUAAGUUAUUCAAAAGAUUUAGAGCUAAAAAGAUAAUCAUAGAAUGUUCUCGAGCACAUUCGGACAAUUAUGACCCAGUUAUCUGAGUUCAUAAAAUAGAAGACAAAGAGGAAGGUGGUGCUUGUAGGCCUAUAAUCCAGCCGUGUGCUGGGGUUUAUUAGCCCAAGAUAGGCUGUACUGUAUUGGUUCUUUCAUCUGUGACGAAGGCAACUACACUACGGUUCUUGUAGUUGCCAAAAGUUGGCUCAACAAAAGCUAAAUCAGGAUGCAUAAAUUUAUGUUGGCUUUUUUGGAAAUAAUCAGUUGCUUGAGUAUCAGGAAAGUUCUACAUUAUGGAAGAUGACUCAUCCUUAUUAAUAAAGGAGGAACCUGAAACUCCACUAGUGAAUCAACUGGAGAACUCCAUAAGUGGGUGCCUUGAUGCUGGUGAAGUGCUUUUUAUCCAAGGAAUUGUUGCUACCCCUCAGUUUCCUUGGCCUCAACUUGAUUGCCUUCCAUUCCCCAGGUAGGGCAUCGUGUGUGUGAAGAUAAGUAUGAGUCCGUGGACUGGUCCUUGGGGAACUACUUGAUCCAUCCGUUAUGACAUCUCUCUCACUGUGACUACCCUCUUCUAGCCAGGUA
Molecule: non-coding RNA, 651 nt
Organism: Cherax quadricarinatus
Lineage: Eukaryota; Metazoa; Arthropoda; Malacostraca; Decapoda; Parastacidae
Source: RefSeq, a predicted model, not a curated record